UCCAGACUCCUACGGGAGGCAGCAGUAGGGAAUUUUGCGCAAUGGGGGAAACCCUGACGCAGCAACACCGCGUGAAUGUUAAGCCCUUCGGGGUGUAAAGUUCUGUCAAUAGGGACGAAUUUUGACUGUACCUAUAAAGGAAGCACCGGCUAACUCCGUGCCAGCAGCCGCGGUAAUACGGAGGAUGCGAGCGUUAUCCGGAUUUAUUGGGUUUAAAGGGUGCGUAGGCGGACUGUUAAGUCAGCGGUAAAAGCCCGGGGCUCACCCCCGGCGAGCCGUUGAAACUGGCUGUCUUGAGAUGUCGAGAGGUAUGCGGAAUGCGCAGUGUAGCGGUGAAAUGCUUAGAUAUUGCGCAGAACUCCGAUUGCGAAGGCAGCAUACCGGCGGCGAUCUGACGCUGAGGCACGAAAGCGUGGGUAUCGAACAGGAUUAGAUACCCGCGUAAA
RNAcentral lists this ribosomal RNA (446 nucleotides) under uncultured bacterium. Its description in RNAcentral is "bacterial SSU rRNA". It matches the Rfam family "Bacterial small subunit ribosomal RNA", at positions 330 to 794 of the family's 1533-position model. The record is from RNAcentral.